UACGUAGGGUGCAAGCGUUGUCCGGAAUUAUUGGGCGUAAAGAGCUUGUAGGCGGUUUGUCGCGUCUGCCGUGAAAAUCCGGGGCUCAACCCCGGACUUGCGGUGGGUACGGGCAGACUAGAGUGUGGUAGGGGAGACUGGAAUUCCUGGUGUAGCGGUGAAAUGCGCAGAUAUCAGGAGGAACACCGAUGGCGAAGGCAGGUCUCUGGGCCACUACUGACGCUGAGAAGCGAAAGCGUGGGGAGCGAACAGG
This 253-nucleotide ribosomal RNA is filed under the name uncultured bacterium. Its description in RNAcentral is "partial 16S ribosomal RNA". It matches the Rfam family "Bacterial small subunit ribosomal RNA", at positions 524 to 776 of the family's 1533-position model. The record is from RNAcentral.